Molecule: non-coding RNA, 166 nt
Filed under: chicken gut metagenome
Description: Lysine riboswitch
Rfam family: Lysine riboswitch aptamer
About the family: Riboswitches are metabolite binding domains within certain messenger RNAs that serve as precision sensors for their corresponding targets.
Source: RNAcentral
AAGAUAGAGGAGCGGAUGCUAUCAGUAACCCUGACAAAAGGCCGGCAGAGGCUGUCAUGGUGAAAGGAGACAACCGCCGAGGCCUUAUCAUAUUUGCCGAUGAUAUGAGCCGGGCCAUGGUAAUAAGAUGCCAUGGACUGUCACGUCUAAGUGAAGCGCUAUCAGA